UCAGCUGUUAUGUAAGCAGGACUCUGUCACGUGGCUCACAUUGUGAUCUAUUAUGCGACAUUUGGUUUGCAUAAUUAACAAAGUCAGGUCUCAGCGACCCGGAUGCUCCGGGACGGAUCUGACACCCGGGAGACGAGCGAGCAGCCGGGAGGCACGGACACAAACGACUCCUUACAUGAUCUGCGUCCGUGCGCCGCUCAGACGGAUGGAAGACGAGUUAAAGAGAUGACGAGCAUAAAAAAAAUCACAGAUGGCUUGACGUCGUUUGACUGACAGAUCUGAUUCCUCAGGGUUUUGUCAUUCAGGCAGGCAGUCCAGCAGGCAGCCCAGCACCGACUCUUUAAUCACCUGCGGAGACAAGAGGUCAACAACAUGACCGCUUCAACUGGAGACACGUUUCACUCCCAUUACUGAAUGGGCAGCACACCUGGAACUCCUCCUGACUCGGCAGCUCCACCCCGAAGAUGAUGUCCAGGUCCUUGUAGCUGGUUCCGUUGUCUCGAACCAGGACAUGGCUGGCUGUGGAGCCGUUCAGGCGAACAUCUCUAACCGCGAUUCCCUGAUCCUGCAGCCUAGCCCGCACCGCU
This is a long non-coding RNA of Nothobranchius furzeri (turquoise killifish), 587 nucleotides long. RefSeq lists it as uncharacterized. Lineage: Eukaryota; Metazoa; Chordata; Actinopteri; Cyprinodontiformes; Nothobranchiidae. The record is from RefSeq and is a predicted model, not a curated record.